This 425-nucleotide ribosomal RNA is filed under the name Ensifer meliloti. RNAcentral describes it as "Sinorhizobium meliloti partial 23S ribosomal RNA". It matches the Rfam family "Bacterial large subunit ribosomal RNA", at positions 1 to 355 of the family's 2925-position model. The record is from RNAcentral. Lineage: Bacteria; Pseudomonadati; Pseudomonadota; Alphaproteobacteria; Hyphomicrobiales; Rhizobiaceae.
GAUCAAGUGAAAGAAGGGCAUUUGGUGGAUGCCUUGGCAUGCACAGGCGAUGAAGGACGUGAUACGCUGCGAAAAGCCGUGGGGAGCUGCGAAUGAGCUUUGAUCCAUGGAUCUCCGAAUGGGGCAACCCACCUUAGAUGCUUGGAAAAUCAUUUUGGUUGGCAUCUGGUCCCGAAGCCGUAAGGCUUCGCAAGGCCAGAGGCCGUCGCCGGUUAUCCGGCGUCAAGAAACCAAAGUGGUUUCCAAGCAUUGUUGAAAGGUAUCUUAUUCUGAAUACAUAGGGAUAAGAAGCGAACGCAGGGAACUGAAACAUCUAAGUACCUGCAGGAAAGGACAUCAACCGAGACUCCGCAAGUAGUGGCGAGCGAACGCGGACCAGGCCAGUGGCAAUGAGGAAUAAAGUGGAACGAUCUGGAAAGUUCGGC